AAGAUCACGGCGAGACGAGCCGUUUAUCAUCUCAUUACGAUAGGUGUCAAGUGGAAGUGCAGUAAUGUAUGCAGCUGAGGCAUCCUAACCGAUCGGUAGACU
Molecule: ribosomal RNA, 102 nt
Filed under: Drosera rotundifolia
Lineage: Eukaryota; Viridiplantae; Streptophyta; Magnoliopsida; Caryophyllales; Droseraceae
Description: 4.5S ribosomal RNA
Source: RNAcentral